GGGCGAGUAGCUCAGUUCGGUAGAGCACCUGUCUGAUACGCAGGUGGUCGUUGGUUCAAAUCCAACCUUGCCCA
RNAcentral lists this transfer RNA (74 nucleotides) under Acidobacteriota bacterium. Its description in RNAcentral is "Acidobacteria bacterium tRNA-Ile". It matches the Rfam family "tRNA". From Rfam's summary of the family: Transfer RNA (tRNA) molecules are approximately 80 nucleotides in length. Their secondary structure includes four short double-helical elements and three loops (D, anti-codon, and T loops). Further hydrogen bonds mediate the characteristic L-shaped molecular structure. tRNAs have two regions of fundamental functional importance: the anti-codon, which is responsible for specific mRNA codon recognition, and the 3' end, to which the tRNAs corresponding amino acid is attached (by aminoacyl-tRNA synthetases). tRNAs cope with the degeneracy of the genetic code in two manners: having more than one tRNA (with a specific anti-codon) for a particular amino acid; and 'wobble' base-pairing, i.e. permitting non-standard base-pairing at the 3rd anti-codon position. Lineage: Bacteria; Pseudomonadati; Acidobacteriota. The record is from RNAcentral. RNAcentral also lists the same sequence under 1 other name.